GAGAUAGGGUCUUCACGGCCCGACCUCCAACCCUCUGUUGUUAAAACUACCUUGUUGCUUUGGCGGGACCGUCUCGGUCUCCGAGCGCACUAACCCUCGGGUUGGUGAGCGCCCGCCAGAGUCCAACCAAACUCUUGUAUUAAACCAGUCGUCUGAGUAUAAAAUUUUAAUUAAAUUAAAACUUUCAACAACGGAUCUCUUGGUUCU
RNAcentral lists this unclassified non-coding RNA (207 nucleotides) under rhizosphere metagenome. RNAcentral's name for it is "partial ribosomal RNA internal transcribed spacer region". The record is from RNAcentral.